This 88-nucleotide ribosomal RNA is filed under the name Delftia sp. CH05. RNAcentral's name for it is "partial 16S ribosomal RNA". It matches the Rfam family "Bacterial small subunit ribosomal RNA", at positions 1 to 83 of the family's 1533-position model. Lineage: Bacteria; Pseudomonadati; Pseudomonadota; Betaproteobacteria; Burkholderiales; Comamonadaceae. The record is from RNAcentral.
AGAUCGAACUGUAGAGUUUGAUCCUGGCUCAGAUUGAACGCUGGCGGCAUGCCUUACACAUGCAAGUCGAACGGUAACAGGUCUUCGG